CAGACACAGUUAGAGGUUUCCAAGAGAUUUUGUGCUGGGGAGGCUGCUUGCUACAAGCUCCCAAAGCUCUGGGAGGACAUAGUAUUCAUUCCUCCCUCAGCAGAAGCGGUGAGGCAAGAAGCUCUGGGGAGCACCCAGCCUUGGACUUUUAGCAUAGUGUGUCAGGUCUUCAUAGUUUGGGCCCAGGGCACAGAGAAGUCACAGCUCUCUGGCAUCCUGUGACCUUUACCCUCUUUGCCAAGGGAAAAUGUGGCCCACCAAAGCAAGAAACUUGAGGGCAUGGGUCACCCCAGCCCUGGCAUCUGCCCAGAGCCCGAGAAGGAAGGAACAAUGAUCCUCCAGCUACCUCACAGGGCUGGCACAGGUGACCACUGCCCUGGCAUCACCCAGCUGUGUCCGGCAGCCUGAAC
RNAcentral lists this long non-coding RNA (410 nucleotides) under Homo sapiens (human). RNAcentral describes it as "HSALNT0229371". The record is from RNAcentral. Lineage: Eukaryota; Metazoa; Chordata; Mammalia; Primates; Hominidae.